AGUGAACGCUGGCGGUAGGCCUAACACAUGCAAGUCGAACGGCAGCACAGUAAGAGCUUGCUCUUACGGGUGGCGAGUGGCGGACGGGUGAGGAAUACAUCGGAAUCUACUUUUUCGUGGGGGAUAACGUAGGGAAACUUACGCUAAUACCGCAUACGACCUACGGGUGAAAGCAGGGGAUCUUCGGACCUUGCGCGAUUGAAUGAGCCGAUGUCGGAUUAGCUAGUUGGCGGGGUAAAGGCCCACCAAGGCGACGAUCCGUAGCUGGUCUGAGAGGAUGAUCAGCCACACUGGAACUGAGACACGGUCCAGACUCCUACGGGAGGCAGCAGUGGGGAAUAUUGGACAAUGGGCGCAAGCCUGAUCCAACCAUACCGCGUGGGUGAAGAAGGCCUUCGGGUUGUAAAGCCCUUUUGUUGGGAAAGAAAAGCAGCAGGUUAAUACCCCGCUGUUCUGACGGUACCCAAAGAAUAAGCACUGGCUAACUUCGUG
This 492-nucleotide ribosomal RNA is filed under the name uncultured bacterium. Its description in RNAcentral is "partial 16S ribosomal RNA". It matches the Rfam family "Bacterial small subunit ribosomal RNA", at positions 29 to 507 of the family's 1533-position model. The record is from RNAcentral.